UACGUAGGGUGCAAGCGUUAAUCGGAAUUACUGGGCGUAAAGCGUGCGCAGGCGGCUUUGCAAGACAGAUGCGAAAUCCCCGGGCUUAACCUGGGAACUGCAUUUGUGACUGCAUGGCUAGAGUGCGGCAGAGGGGGAUGGAAUUCCGCGUGUAGCAGUGAAAUGCGUAGAUAUGCGGAGGAACACCGAUGGCGAAGGCAAUCCCCUGGGCCUGCACUGACGCUCAUGCACGAAAGCGUGGGGAGCAAACAGG
Molecule: ribosomal RNA, 253 nt
Filed under: uncultured bacterium
Lineage: Bacteria
Description: partial 16S ribosomal RNA
Rfam family: Bacterial small subunit ribosomal RNA
Source: RNAcentral